CCUACGGGCGGCAGCAGUGGGGAUAUUGGACAAUGGGGGGAACCCUGAUCCAGCCAUGCCGCGUGUGUGAAGAAGGCCCUCGGGUUGUAAAGCACUUUCAGUGAGGAAGAACGCCUGGUGGUUAAUACCCAUCAGGAAAGACAUCACUCACAGAAGAAGCACCGGCUAACUCCGUGCCAGCAGCCGCGGUAAUACGGAGGGUGCGAGCGUUAAUCGGAAUUACUGGGCGUAAAGCGCGCGUAGGUGGCUUGAUAAGCCGGUUGUGAAAGCCCCGGGCUCAACCUGGGAACGGCAUCCGGAACUGUCAAGCUAGAGUGCAGGAGAGGAAGGUAGAAUUCCCGGUGUAGCGGUGAAAUGCGUAGAGAUCGGGAGGAAUACCAGUGGCGAAGGCGGCCUUCUGGACUGACACUGACACUGAGGUGCGAAAGCGUGGGUAGCAAACAGGAUUAGAUACCCGGGUAGUC
RNAcentral lists this ribosomal RNA (464 nucleotides) under Vreelandella stevensii. RNAcentral's name for it is "partial 16S ribosomal RNA". It matches the Rfam family "Bacterial small subunit ribosomal RNA", at positions 338 to 795 of the family's 1533-position model. The record is from RNAcentral. Lineage: Bacteria; Pseudomonadati; Pseudomonadota; Gammaproteobacteria; Oceanospirillales; Halomonadaceae.